Molecule: RNA transcript, 5497 nt
Organism: Pseudophryne corroboree (corroboree frog)
Lineage: Eukaryota; Metazoa; Chordata; Amphibia; Anura; Myobatrachidae
Gene: BRPF3
Gene name: bromodomain and PHD finger containing 3
Exons: 15
Source: RefSeq, a predicted model, not a curated record
CACCGCACCCGGCAAAAAGCCCCUUUUGGCCGGUACAUAUCAUAUAAAAACUGUACCGGCCAACAAGGUACAGCCGGGAGGGGGGGUAAGGAAUGUAUCCAACAAUAUACAACCAGCUCCCGUUUGUUGUUGGCCUCCAUAUUAGGGAAGUCUCGCGGUGGCCACAUACAGCCCUAUAUAUAAAUGAGAACACGGGGCGCACUGGGGAGACAACAGCAGCACGCACUGAGCGAGAUCCGACAUCUCGAACAGGCAGCGGACGCUGCAGUGCUCAUGGUGUGAGAAGGAGCGCACGUCACGGUCACAUUAUGGCAGAGCUUCCUUUAUUUUCGCGUCAUAUUUCUGUGCUCCGGAAGCGGAAAGUGGUGUCUGGGCGAAGAUGUCAUCCUUCUCCUCUAUGCUGCCCUGUACCCCUCAUUCUGCCUAUACUCACCCCGCUCUCCAGCUGCCGGUGCUGUUAUUUGCCCAUCUGUACUGAUGCUGCCUCUGCACGCUGACUUUCUGUUACUACUCUGUAUAACUGGCUCCUAAUCCUCCGUUGCAUAUACAGCUGCUGUUGUGCUCUCUGCCUCCAUAUACAACGGAUCCGGUGCAUACGAACACGAACUACAUUGCACAGACAUGAGAAAGCCACGCCGUAAGUCACAUCAAGGUGUUGAUGGGCAGCAAUCCACCUCUCCUUGUUGUUUUUCAUGUUCCCCGACCCGAGAGACUUUGACAUAUGCUCAAGCACAACGCAUGGUAGAUGUUGAGAUAGAAGGUCGUCUUCACAGAAUUAGUAUAUUUGACCCUCUUCGGAUUGUCUCAGAGGAUGAGCUUACAGCUCAAGACAUAACUGAAUGCAACAGCAACAAGGAGAAUAAUGAGUUGACUCUUUCUACAAACUGCAGAAAGAACUCCACGAAAGGAAAAAAGCGUGAACUUUGCCCAAAACAUGAUGUUAGCACUACUCUUCAACAGCUGCCGCAACCUUUAUUCAGAGUAUUGGAACAAGUUUAUGUGGAAAAUGCAGAAGAGACCCCUAUUUUGCCCGACACUCUUUACCGCUAUAUUGAGCGCCCAUUGGAAGAGAUUGAUAAGGAUGUUGAGUAUGAUCUUGAUGAGAUAGAUCUAGCAUGGCUGGACAUAAUCAAUGACAAACGUCGGAAAGAUGGUUUUUCUAUGGUAUCUGCUGACACAUUUGAACUACUAUUGGACAGGUUGGAAAAGGAGUCUUACGUGCAGAACCGGCGCAUAUGUAUGACACAUUCUUCUAUUGAUGAAAAUGCAUUCUGUUGUGUAUGCUUGGAUGACGAAUGUCACAAUAGUAAUGCCAUAUUAUUUUGCGAUAUAUGCAACCUUGCAGUCCACCAAGAGUGCUAUGGCGUACCAUACAUUCCUGAAGGACAGUGGCUCUGCCGUUGCUGUUUGCAGUCACCCUCAAAUCCUGUCAGUUGUGUACUUUGCCCUAACCAGGGUGGUGCUUUUAAACAGACUAGUGAUGGAAGAUGGGCACAUGUAGUAUGUGCCAUCUGGGUUCCAGAAGUAUGCUUUGCCAACACUGUGUUUUUGGAGCCUGUUGAAGGUGUGGAUAAUAUUCCACCUGCUCGGUGGAGGCUGACAUGUUACAUUUGUAAACAAAAAGGACAUGGAGCUUCAAUUCAAUGUCACAAGGUAAACUGCUAUACAGCAUUUCAUGUUACGUGUGCUCAGAGGGCUGGACUGUUUAUGAAGGUGGAACCAUUACGCGAGACUGGACUGAAUGGCACCACUUUCACUGUGCGCAAAACUGCAUAUUGUGAAGCCCACUACCCACCAGACAUUCAGCAUAAAGAGUCCUCCAAAAGUGAUCUCGAAGAGGCCAAUGAUCAGGAUAAGGUAACCAAUGAAGACGACAAAACUAAGAAGAAGGGAAGUGGGAAAAAAAAUCUUGGGAAACUGUUUGCAAAAGAAAGACGGGAGCUUGUGCGUAGGAGAGGUCCUGUGCCACUUAUGACUAUCAUGCAGAUUCCUUUGUGUAGGCUAAUUAAGAUCUCUAGUGGAGUUUGUUUACAGAAAAAGACGCAGUUCAUGCAACAUCUGCACAGUUACUGGCUGCUGAAACGCCAAUCUAGAAAUGGGGUUCCUCUUAUCCGAAGACUUCACUCACAUUUGCAGUCCCAAAAAUGUGGCAAACAGAAAGAAAAAGAUGAGGAGAGCUCAUCCGUGAAGGAGGCACUCAAAUACUGGCAAAAAUUGCGACAUGAUCUAGAGAGAGCCAGAUUACUGACUGAACUAAUUAGAAAGAGGGAGAAGCUAAAGAAAGAACAGGUAAAGUUGCACCAGGCUGCAAUGGAGCUGCAGCUAACCCCAUUCAACGUAUUCCUCCGCUCCACUUUGGAUUUGUUGCAGGAGAAAGACCCAGCCAAAAUCUUUAAUGAGCCUGUUAAUCUCAAGGAGGUUCCAGAUUACAUGGAUUUUGUUUUGCAUCCCAUGGACUUUUCCACAAUGCGCCACAAACUUGAAUGUCACCUAUACCCAUCUUUUCUUGCUUUUGAAGAUGACUUCAACCUAAUUGUCUCUAACUGCUUGCGUUAUAACUCUCGGGAAACUGUGUUCCACCAAGCUGCUUUACGCCUCCACCAACUAGGUGCAUCAAUACUUAAUCAUGCAAGACGCCAGGCAGAUAGCUUUGGAUAUGACCCACAUACUCUGAUGCACCUACCGGAGAAACCCCACACUGGUGACUACUACCGGUUUUCAUGGGAAGAGGUGGAUGAGCUUUUGCUCCCUGAAAACAGGGUCCACCUAUCCCCUGAAUGCCAACUGAAGGAACUCUUAGAGAAACUUGACAUUGUGAGCAGUGUUCGAGCAAGCGGUGCUCGCACUAAGCGUCUGAGGUUACUUCGCAGGGAAAUUAAUCUUCUCCGGCAAAGACUGGCACCACGUAGUAGAGACUUGCUGGAGGUUUACCCUGAUGAGAAGUCCGCUCCUCCUCCUAUGCUUGAGCCUACAGAUGCAACUCUCCCAUUAGAAAAUAUUACUGCUCAUGAACAUCCACCUACCCUACAACCUAUGACAGGCAGUCCCAUCAAUAAGAAAGUUAAAAUUGGGUUCCAAGUCCGUAAUUUGGGAGGAGGAAGAACCUCUAUUGUUUCACAGAAACGCUUGAAGGAAACAAAGACUUCAGCAGUAAAUACUCUGCAAUCUCUCAGUGGCAAUGAAAGUGACGAAGAGAAAACAGCAGUCUAUGCAGCUACAGAAAUUGCCAAUGGAUUUGGAACACAUGCAGGAAGUGGAUCAGAUUCUGAAAGCAACUCUGAAUUUACCAGGGAAGCAGCUUUGUAUUCUUCUGGGAACCAGGCCCCAUUAGGAAAACCAUCUCUCUCCCACAUCCCUCUACUCGAAUCAAUUAAUGGAGAUUGUGCCUACCGAGCAGAAAGUCUCCUAAUGUCAUCUGACCGUUCCACAGAACUGAAGCCUCUUCAGUUAGUCUGGGCUAAAUGUCGCGGAUAUCCUUCCUAUCCGGCAUUGAUUAUUGAUCCCAAUAUGCCUAGAGAGGGUUUAUUACACAAUGGCAUACCUAUUCCUGUACCACCCCUGGAAGUGCUUAAAUUGGGAGAACAGCGAUACCGUGAAAAUAACGCACAGAAACUCUUCCUUGUUCUAUUUUUUGACAAUAAAAGAACUUGGCAAUGGCUUCCCAGUGACAAGGUUUUACCUUUGGGUGCUGAUGAUACAGUAGACAAGCUGAAAAUGUUAGAGGGUCGAAAAACAAGCAUCCGCAAGUCAGUUCAGGUGGCCUAUGACCGCGCCAUGAGCCACUUGAGCCGUGUACGAGGCUGCCACCCAUUCAUCACAUCAAACUACUUAUACUAAUUGUUCCUGUUCCAUAAUGGAAGUUAUCAGCCCAUCAAACUGACGAAUCUGUAAUGUCAGCACCGGCCUCUGUGUGCGUCCGAACAGAGCAACACUUGAAUUGCUCCGUCGAACGCCAUGUAGCGGCUGCCGAUGAGCAAAACACUUGAAUUCCCUCAGAGAGAUAUCAAGCACCUAGCAACAGGUUUGGGUAUGGAGUAGUAGAACAGGCACAUAAGGGGAGUGGAUUUCAUGGAAUAGUGUGUGGUGAUGUACCCACACAGACACAAAAAAACAGUAGAUGGUACAUUUGGGUGUACUUUCACUUUCUUGAUGUGAUUUGUGUUAAUGCAUGGCUCUUUUAUCAAAUGUCUGGAUUCAUUGCCAAGAAUCAGUUGGUUUUCAAACCAUUGAUCAAUGCUAAAUCUAUGGAGCAACAUCGAAGAGGAAGACCAAGUAAGACACCACCUCUGAAGUGCAGGGCCAUGUCUAAUGCACCCCCUGAAAUCAGGUUCAGUGUGAGAUUGUGUGAGAAAUCAAUAGCCUGAAGCUUACGUAUGCAAAACAUGCUUACAGGUGCCAUGAUGCAACUUGUACAAAUAAAACUAAGUACAUCUGUAUGCACUGCGUUGAGCCUUUGUGUACAGGAUGCUUCUCCAACUUUCAGACCAAUUGUUAACAUCCGUCAAAUUCAGUUUGUGAAAAAGGCUAACAUUCUAGGUAUGAAGCAAACUCAGACGUAAAUUUAAAAAAAAAUUAAUAUAAAUAUUGCACAACGUGUUGUUUUUAACCUAAAAGGUUUUUUUGUUUCUGGAGAAGAAAGACAGUAAGUUGUUGCGCAUGAUAAAGACAAAUUGGAACUAUACCAGACAUUUGUUUUUUGUAUAUUUCAAUUUACAUUUUUCAAGAAAAAAAUUUCAAGGUUAAAUUACUGUUCCAUGAUAGGGCAAUUUUUUUAUGUUGCAAAUGCAUGCUGUCCACUAAAGUGGACUUGUGUAUAACUACUUUAGUAUUAUAGUAAAAACAAUUGUGUGUUUCUAUAAGUCCUGAAGACUAAUAAAAAAACAUUUUCUUUAAAUCUUGCAUUAAGUUAUCAUGAUUCAUGCAUGAAAGGGUUAAUUUUAGCAAAAACGCCACUAAUAUGGAUUUAUCACUUUAAAAUAACUGGUUUAUUUUUUUGUACAAAUACUUUUAUUGAAAAAGUAUAGUAACAAAUUAUAUAUGCUUAAAUGUAUUUUGUUUUAUUUUUGUUGUCGAAUAUAUGAAAUUUAAUGGCAUAGUAAAAUAAUGUAAUAAAUUAAAUUGUGAAUGUCCUUUUAUGAAUAAUAAACUAUUUACAUACGUGCCAUGAGAUUGUCAUCAGACAGUGUAAGUUCUGUUUAUUUAUAUAUCCAUAGUUAAAAUGUUCAGAAUUUUGAUUUAGCAUAUUUUAGAGACUGUACAAGCUUUUUAAUAGCUAUGAUUUGAUGUAACGUCAUAAAAAUAAAAAUUCCUUUACCUUGUCAUUAAAAUUCUAUGGGUUUUUUUUUUUGCUGUUCAUAUAUACAGGAUGUUUUGUUUUUGUUUUUUUGUUCCGUAGUGACGCAAGCCGUGAGACAUGAGCAAUAGUAAUAUGGGUUUGUUUUUUGUUUUUUUUAACUACUGUAACUCAUUAUAUUUGCCUUCUUUCGAAUUGUAGUUU